UACAGAGGUGGCAAGCGUUGUUCGGAAUUACUGGGCGUAAAGGGCGCGUAGGCGGCCAUCUAAGUCAGACGUGAAAUCCCCCGGCUUAACCUGGGAACUGCGUCUGAUACUGGAUGGCUUGAGUUCGGGAGAGGGAUGCGGAAUUCCAGGUGUAGCGGUGAAAUGCGUAGAUAUCUGGAGGAACACCGGUGGCGAAGGCGGCAUCCUGGACCGACACUGACACUGAGGAGCGAAAGCCAGGGGAGCAAACGGG
This 253-nucleotide ribosomal RNA is filed under the name uncultured bacterium. RNAcentral describes it as "partial 16S ribosomal RNA". It matches the Rfam family "Bacterial small subunit ribosomal RNA", at positions 524 to 776 of the family's 1533-position model. The record is from RNAcentral.